This 490-nucleotide ribosomal RNA is filed under the name uncultured bacterium. Its description in RNAcentral is "bacterial SSU rRNA". It matches the Rfam family "Bacterial small subunit ribosomal RNA", at positions 501 to 992 of the family's 1533-position model. The record is from RNAcentral.
CUACGUGCCAGCAGCCGCGGUAAUACGGAGGGUGCGAGCGUUAAUCGGAAUAACUGGGCGUAAAGGGCACGCAGGCGGUGACUUAAGUGAGGUGUGAAAGCCCCGGGCUUAACCUGGGAAUUGCAUUUCAUACUGGGUCGCUAGAGUACUUUAGGGAGGGGUAGAAUUCCACGUGUAGCGGUGAAAUGCGUAGAGAUGUGGAGGAAUACCGAAGGCGAAGGCAGCCCCUUGGGAAUGUACUGACGCUCAUGUGCGAAAGCGUGGGGAGCAAACAGGAUUAGAUACCCUGGUAGUCCACGCUGUAAACGAUGUCGAUUUGGGGGUUGAGCUUUGAGCUUGGCGCCCGUAGCUAACGUGAUAAAUCGACCGCCUGGGGAGUACGGCCGCAAGGUUAAAACUCAAAUGAAUUGACGGGGGCCCGCACAAGCGGUGGAGCAUGUGGUUUAAUUCGAUGCAACGCGAAGAACCUUACCUACUCUUGACAUCCAGA